GAAGGAAGGAAUUCCUCUGAGACAGAUAAAACACACAGACUUAUGCAGGAGAGAGAGGAAAGAUGCCAAGAGCGUAAUGAGAAAACAAGUCAAUAUGAGAUGAAUAUGAAAAGAUAACAUUGUGCCAUUUAUAGGUCUUGCUUUUUGUUAGAAUAAACACAUAGCAAGUGUCCCUCGGCUUGUACAAACCACACUCAGCCUUACAGAUACCACAAUCUUCCGGAUAAGAAGUCAUUUUCUCCUCAAGUUCUCCAUAUGCCUCCAUCACCAAUCCGUUCUUGUUGGAAAGACUAAACUCAGAAUGGUCUUUCGGUUCCUCCAGCCAUGGUUCUCAACUGGCGUUGGUGGAAAUGGGGGGGGGGGGGCAGGGUAUGCAGCUGGCCCCCAGGAAGGAUACCUGCUCUGCAGUAGGCCAGGCAAUCCUGCAACAUGGGGAGCUACUUCCUUUGAAAUGUCUUCUCUGUGAUAUAAAAUUGUCAGCAACAAUGUCAAGAGCUUUCCAAUUGCUAUAUUGCCAGUUGAAAAAGGUUUCGGCAUGGCUGGAUGGCUCGAGUCACCUUAUCAUACGUUUUAUAUCUUAUCUCUGUGGUGGUUUGUGAGCUGUGGAAAAAGACCUCACCCCCUUUCUCCAUUAGACGACGAGGCCUGAGUGUGGCCUGCCUCCGCAAAGAUCCAAAAAUGUCAAACACGUCAAAAAGUAGCUUUCUGACCUCAGUGCUAUUCCUUCAGGCCACCUGCCUUCAGGCCACCACCCUAUCUCUGGCCUGCCAUGGGCUUCUAAGGACCUUUUUUUUUUUUUUUUUUUUUGAGAACUGUCGAGUAUUACUAUUUUUCUCAUUUUACGUAGGAGGAAACGGAGACGAAGGUUAAGUACACUGACUGCUCAAGGUCACAGAGAGCAGGUGCGAGGGCCGAGCUUCAAACCCAAGCACUCUGACGCCAAAACUCUUUACUGUUUACUGACGGCCAAAAGUGCCUGAGUCAGUCAUUCCUCACAUUUUCCAGUCAUAUUUUGCUCCUUUUAUAUCGCUGCAGAAUGCAUUCUAAUGAUUUCUGUUUUACUUUCUCAUCCCAAAUGCCUGAAAGUCUGUUCUAUUCUCAGCCCAGAUACUCACUGAAUGUGUUCACAUGAGCACGUCACUUCUAUUUUCUGCAUCUCAUCACUAAAACAA
Molecule: long non-coding RNA, 1172 nt
Organism: Canis lupus familiaris (dog)
Lineage: Eukaryota; Metazoa; Chordata; Mammalia; Carnivora; Canidae
Exons: 3
Source: RefSeq, a predicted model, not a curated record